This is a long non-coding RNA of Pistacia vera, 862 nucleotides long. RefSeq lists it as uncharacterized. The record is from RefSeq and is a predicted model, not a curated record. Lineage: Eukaryota; Viridiplantae; Streptophyta; Magnoliopsida; Sapindales; Anacardiaceae. The transcript has 3 exons.
UGUCAAAUAUGGAAACAAACGGACUUCCCCUAAAAACCAAUUAUCUACUGCCCAAAAUUCUCCCGCCCAAAAACCAAAUUUUUUUCCACUGAAUCGCAGAAUCUCUCUACAACGCUGAUUCAUUCUAAAUCCAACUUCACGGCUCAAGGUGCUCUCUACAACGCUGAUUGUUGUCAAACACUGAUUUUGGUGGGAGAAAAGCUUUGGUUUCGUGGAGCUGUUGCAUUUUUGUUACUUUUUGGAUUUUAUGUUGGAGAGAAGUAGAAGAAUUUCUUAAAAUGCUAUUUAAGAUGAGGAUGAUUUCUGUUCCCUUUGUUAUUCAGAAACAUGCUGAUUUUGCAACCACGGGAAUGUUAUUGGCGAAGCGCUGUAUUCAUGCUACAGGAUCUUGCUACUCCAAUCAGCGAGACUACUACGAAGUUCUUGGUGUUCCUAAAAAUGCGAGCCAGGAUGAGAUAAAAAAGGCGUUUCAUGCCAUGAGUAUUUGAGCACUUAAUAUGCUUUUAAGUUAGGGAAUUACAUUUUAAUCAUAAGAAAUCCCUUACUGUAGUGUAAAACAUCUUCUGAUGGAUUGUUCUUUCUUUUCUGGCAUCUUGCAAUCACUGGUAGCUGUUCUUUAUGGGGUCAGUGGCUUAAUUUUUCCUUAGCUCUUUAAAAUAGGUGGCUUUAGUGUUUGGGUGAAAACUAUGUGGGCUAUUUUUACUUUUAGGAAUAGUUUUGCUUGUGGAAUCCUUAAUGGAACUUGGAAAGGCACACCGGAGAUGCAUCUAAUUUUACUAGUACUAUGAAUCUAGGGGUAUUUGAGGUUGGCAGCGUUGCCAGAUAUUUUUCUACCACUUAUGCCAUUGGGAAAUCAUGUCUG